RNAcentral lists this ribosomal RNA (484 nucleotides) under uncultured bacterium. RNAcentral's name for it is "partial 16S ribosomal RNA". It matches the Rfam family "Bacterial small subunit ribosomal RNA", at positions 30 to 507 of the family's 1533-position model. The record is from RNAcentral.
AUUGAACGCUGGCGGCAGGCCUAACACAUGCAAGUCGAGCGGAUGAAGGGAGCUUGCUCCUGGAUUCAGCGGCGGACGGGUGAGUAAUGCCUAGGAAUCUGCCUGGUAGUGGGGGAUAACGUCCGGAAACGGGCGCUAAUACCGCAUACGUCCUGAGGGAGAAAGUGGGGGAUCUUCGGACCUCACGCUAUCAGAUGAGCCUAGGUCGGAUUAGCUAGUUGGUGGGGUAAAGGCCUACCAAGGCGACGAUCCGUAACUGGUCUGAGAGGAUGAUCAGUCACACUGGAACUGAGACACGGUCCAGACUCCUACGGGAGGCAGCAGUGGGGAAUAUUGGACAAUGGGCGAAAGCCUGAUCCAGCCAUGCCGCGUGUGUGAAGAAGGUCUUCGGAUUGUAAAGCACUUUAAGUUGGGAGGAAGGGCAGUAAGUUAAUACCCUGCUGUUUUGACGUUACCAACAGAAUAAGCACCGGCUAACCUCGUG